This 282-nucleotide ribosomal RNA is filed under the name Triticum aestivum (bread wheat). RNAcentral describes it as "partial small subunit ribosomal RNA". The record is from RNAcentral. Lineage: Eukaryota; Viridiplantae; Streptophyta; Magnoliopsida; Poales; Poaceae.
UGGUAUCUUCGUCGUAGAGUCAUUCUUACUAAAGUUAACCUUAUUAAGAGGAAUUGGCAUGGAAGUUUGCAAUGUGUGUUUUGUCAUCAUGAUGAGACAAUAAAACAUUUAUUCUUCCAAUGCAAAUUGGCUCACUCUACAUGGUCAGUCAUCAAAAUAGCUUCUGUCUUGUAUCCUCCUUGUAGUGUUGCUAAUGUAUUUGACAACUGGUUACAUGAGACUGAUCACAGGUUUAGAACUCUUAUCAGGGCGGGAGCGCUUGUCGUUAUUUGGUCACUUUAG